GAUGAACGCUGGCGGCGUGCCUAAUACAUGCAAGUCGAGCGAACGGACGAGAAGCUUGCUUCUCUGAUGUUAGCGGCGGACGGGUGAGUAACACGUGGAUAACCUACCUAUAAGACUGGGAUAACUUCGGGAAACCGUAGCUAAUACCGGAUAAUAUUUUGAACCGCAUGGUUCAAAAGUGAAAGACGGUCUUGCUGUCACUUAUAGAUGGAUCCACGCUGCAUUAGCUGGUUGGUAAGGUAACGGCUUACCAAGGCAACGAUGCAUAGCCGACCUGAGAGGGGGAUCGGCCACACUGGAACUGAGACACGGUCCAGACUCCUACGGGAGGCAGCAGUAGGGAAUCUUCCGCAAUGGGCGAAAGCCUGACGGAGCAACGCCGCGUGAGUGAUGAAGGUCUUCGGAGCGUAAAACUCUGUUAUUAGGGAAGAACAUAUGUGUAAGUAACUGUGCACAUCUUGACGGUAACUAAUCAGAAAGCCACGGCUAACUACGUG
This 497-nucleotide ribosomal RNA is filed under the name uncultured bacterium. Its description in RNAcentral is "partial 16S ribosomal RNA". It matches the Rfam family "Bacterial small subunit ribosomal RNA", at positions 28 to 507 of the family's 1533-position model. The record is from RNAcentral.